AACGAACGCUGGCGGCAUGCCUAACACAUGCAAGUCGAACGAGACGUUCGGGUCUAGUGGCGCACGGGUGCGUAACGCGGGGGAACCUGCCCUUAGGUUCGGAAUAACUCCCUGAAAGGGGUGCUAAUACCGGAUAAUGUCUUCGGACCAAAGAUUUAUCGCCAUUGGAUGGGCCCGCGUUGGAUUAGCUAGUUGGUAGGGUAAAAGCCUACCAAGGCGACGAUGCAUAGCUGGUCGGGGAGGAUGAUAAGCCACACUGGAGCUGAGACACGGCCCACACUCCUACGGAGGGCAGCAGAAGGGAAUAUUAGACGAUGAGCGAUAGCCUGACACAGCAAUGCCGCGGGAGAGAUGAAGGCCUUAGGGUUGUAAAGCUCUUUUACCCGGGAUGAUAAUGACAGUACCGGGAGAAUAAGCUCCGGCUAACUACGUG
RNAcentral lists this ribosomal RNA (433 nucleotides) under uncultured bacterium. RNAcentral's name for it is "partial 16S ribosomal RNA". It matches the Rfam family "Bacterial small subunit ribosomal RNA", at positions 29 to 507 of the family's 1533-position model. The record is from RNAcentral.